UUCCACACUUCUGUUGUCCACAUGCUUGGUUGGUAAUGCGUGGUUUUUAUAACCAUGCAGGGACUGCCUUUCUCUUUAAUGACACUUAAAUAUUCUGAUUUGGUUGGAUCCUUUCUUAUUGUUUUUGGUCUGUCUGGUGACUCUUAUCAGCUUACCUAUGGGUAGUGGCAGUAAUGUCAUUUGUAUUUCUUAGAUAUGAUUAAUAUGUACAUAGAGAUUAGAAUUUCAAUGGGGUUACUGUGAUACAUAUUUAAAAGAUUUUUCUUACAAGUAGAAAUGACCUCCCAAGAGAUACGAGAAGCAUUCUGACCAUGAUGUCACUUGUUCUUCCAAUAGUUCCUUUAUUUACUCUGGUUUGGCCCUGCUGAUUGGAAGAUGCAGAUUCUAACUUUCUUACUAUGUUUGCUUGGAGGUAAUGUUGGGUGUAGGUAUGUACAUCAAGCCAAUCAUCUUAUCAUGUAGGAUUCAAUGCUGGAAAUAUAAUUGUUGUUAGCCUUGUAUUCUUCAGCCCCAAUGGAGUAGCUCCAUCUGUUUCUAAAUUUCUGAGAGGGCUAGCCUCCUUCGUUUUUUUUCUUUGAAGGAUGUUACUUUGGUUGGUUUGGUUUUAGAGGUUGGGUGAUGGGUAGUUGUGGUGGUAUGUCUAUGGUUGCAUGCUGUUGGGAUGGCUUUUGCAGGUAGGCCUAUGUUUUAGCAUGGUGUACAGGUCUUUUACGCAUCUAGCGGGUGAGUAGACUAGUGGUUGUUUUCUUCACAUCUAGGAUCAAUUGAAGCA
This is a long non-coding RNA of Magnolia sinica, 772 nucleotides long. RefSeq lists it as uncharacterized. Lineage: Eukaryota; Viridiplantae; Streptophyta; Magnoliopsida; Magnoliales; Magnoliaceae. The transcript has 3 exons. The record is from RefSeq and is a predicted model, not a curated record.